UAAAACAUAGCAAAUAGACAAGCCAGGCUACAAAGCAAAUGUAAACACAAUAGAAAUAUUAGCUGUUCUGCGUGAGUGCAAAUAUAUCGUUGAAUAUAUGGCCGAUUAAGUGCAAACAAAAUGUCGUCUUAUAAGUUCAUUAUACUCUGUCACAAUUUCGACAGAUCGUUUACCCCACUCCUAAAGUAAACAUUAAUCGAUCUAGUAAGGGAGGUUUAGAACCAUAAAGAGGUGUUUGACUUGAGUUUUGUUGGAUCUCAACUAUUGUAGUUUUUCCAGUCUGGUUUUUAGAUACACACGUGCUCUAGAGAAGCCAGAGGUUUAAUGAACUGAUCAUCGAAACUGUAAAAGCAUUCACUACGAUUAGAGAAAAUUAUUGUUCUUUCUUAUUUUUAUUCCCAAUCUUGUUAGAAGAGCACAACACAUUUAAAUUCUGCUCCAAACGCACUCUUUUCGUUGGGUACAAUAAGCCACUAACAAACUUACUUCUUCAAUAGUUAGAGUACUAGCUUACAUUUCACUGGAAGUUAUUGGCAUAAAAACUAAAAAUGAAAAUAAAAUAAGAUAAAAUAAAAUAAGUUUUCGAUUUAUGUUCUGACGUUGUAUACUCUGAAGAGUGUCAGACGAAAAGCUUCAGAAACAUGUUUCAAAAGUUCGUCUUUUUCAAAGCCAUUUUGGAAAUGAAAUAUAUAAAUAUAGCGAAAUGAUUGUUUCACAGAAAGGCUGUAGUGCUACAUCAAAUAAAACAAUGAUAAAAGAACAUUUGGAUAUAUCCUUCUUGUUUGACAUUUUAUUCGUCAAUUAUUCUACCAGAAAGAUAACAAACUCUCUUUUGGCAUUUUCUUUUCACGAAGUUAUUUAAUAUAUCAACAUAUUUGUUUCCCAGGUGAUAAAUAUUUCACUCAUAAAUAGCUAGCAAAAUAUAGUAUCGCUGUUGAUCUAUGCAUACAGACAAGAGAGCACUCUUUCAUAAUUUCCAAAUAACAUCUUAUUCUAUUCUAAAGGAUUUCAUAGGCCUGCCCUUUCUAUAUGCUUAAUAUCCUUAUAGACAAACAAAUUUUUUGAUCACACAACAUUUAAACACAAUGACUCAUUAAUUAUGAACCUUGAUAAUUUUUUUCCUUUCAGGCGAAACGUGCAAAUAUAUCAACAGUCAUUUUACCAGAAGGCAACAAAAAAGACUAUGACAACUUGCAAAGUUUCAUAAAACAAAACUUAGAAGUGCAUUUUGUUAGUAACUACAAUAAGGUAUACGAAAUAGCACUGAAUUAUUCGGAAAACAAUGCAGAGCAAGACAACAGCUCGUAGAAUUAUAUAUACUAUUAUUAGCUAUUUACUUCCGAUUUAAUUCUAUAAAACAUUAAAGUUGGGUAUUUUACAAUCUUUAAUGUAAAUCUCAAAACCUGCCUAUAACCUUCACCGAGUAUAUUUAGUAUCAGCUUUAGAUAAUACCCUUGGAGAAGUAUGUAAUUAAUCAAGAAAAUAAGAUUUGUAGGCAAAAUAAACGGAAAAGAAGCCCAGUGUUUCUAAAUUAUCGAUAAGCCGAACGUUAUAUUUUCCAGAUUUUUUCUAGAUCCGGGAAACCAGUUUCCUUUUUCAAAUGCCAAAAAUUUUCAAUUCUCUAAAUAACAAGAUGAAUGCCCCUUGCAACACCCGGCGAUGCGAUAACGUUUUCAUCGUUCAAUGGGCUAGUCUUCCCUUUGUUCUUUCACUAGAUCAUUUUGCUUAAAGGAAAACAAAGGAUUGAGUUGGGGCUACUCCAUAGAAUAUAAAAACUACAAUGAUUAAACAAGUGUGGAUUAUACACAGGUUUUUAUGGUCCUCGUAAUUAUUUACAAGAAUUACAUCCCGCAGGUAGACUUUUUAUCCAUUAAGUAGAUGGUAUACAGUUAAUCCGUACUUUAUAUAUGUAUAAAUUUCAUCUGUAUUAGCGAAUGCGAGAGAAAAAUAUGAGUCUGACGAGCGAGGUCUGAAGUCAUCCUUGAGUGAUUCCUUCGCAACUUUUAUGCCUUGGCUACUUUUGAUAUCUCUUUUUAUCAAAAUUUCUUUCACUGGCUUUUUCUAACAAAUUUUAUACAGUUACAGCUACAUCAAAUUUAUUCUUCCCCAACAAUUUAACUUAAUGCAGUUCUUUGUCAACAUGGAUUCUUCUUCUAUAUUUUUUUAGUAUUGUCAAUUUUUGCGUCCGUAAUAAAUGUCGUCGUUUUCUUUGCCUUUUUAGCUAGCUUUUUCUUUAAAAUAUAAUAAGUGCCUCUGAUUUUCCAUAUGACCAAAAAGCAGUUGUUUGAAAACAGUAAAGAUAUCUUCUUUCGUCAACACGUAUCGACGAAGGAGCUUUACUACCCAGAAUGCUAUUCGCCUUUCGUGUGAUUAAAAACAUGGCUUCGAAGAAAGUUGUUUUCGUCAUAAGCGGCUCACGUGUUAUAGUUAUUCCAAGAAAAUUGAUAUUUACUAUGCGACAAGAUGUUAGAUAAAUAUAUUGUAAUGUUGAACAGUUAAAGGCCGAAGAGUCAUGGAUAUUUGCAUCCUGCUUUGAUUUCUGUGGUAUUUUGUCUUGAUUGGAAAACUUUGGAACCAAAAGCCAGGGCUCACAAAUUCCUCUUCAGAGCUCCAUCAAUAUAGCCAGUUGAUGCUUUGAACACCUAGAAAUUGGAUAUGAAUGGGAUCUGGACUAAAACCUUCAUAAGAACUUGUAUGACUUUUGCAGGUAUGUCGGUUCCCUUUCCUUCAAAUUCCAAACUUACAAACUUAAAUAGCGUGGAUCCUUGAGCUUUUUUUCUGAAGUGCAGACCUUUAAUUCUGAAGUGCAAACCUUAUACUUUCCAAGGAAAAUUAUUUUUUUUCAAAUUACCAUUAUAUUUCAAAGUAUAGUUUUUCCUUGAGAAUUAAAUUCUAUUCAUAACUUACUAUGCGUUACUUUUGAUGAAAAGUUUCUUACUGUUGUUAGCUUUGUAAAAACAAUUCUCUAAAAACCACUUUUAUUUUUAUUUCCUUUCGCAUGAAUUUCUCUUUCUAACUUACUGCUGGUAGCUCUUUUGAAAAGCUUCUCUAAAAACCACUUUUAUUUUUAUUUCCUUGCGUAUUAACUUUCGUUUAUCACUUACUAUAACUUACUCUGUUUUUGAGUUUCUCAAAAAGCCAACAUGUCAAUUUUUAUUGCCAAGUUCCUGUGGAGAGCUUUGCGUUAGUGUUUCCCUAAAAGCCUUUGUUGUUUUUAUUUUAUUGCCUGUCAAUUUUAUUGCUACGUUGCUGUAGGGAGCUUUCCUUUAAAGUUUCUCUAAAAUCCUUAUUUCUCUUUAUUUUAC
Molecule: non-coding RNA, 3305 nt
Organism: Rhopilema esculentum
Lineage: Eukaryota; Metazoa; Cnidaria; Scyphozoa; Rhizostomeae; Rhizostomatidae
Source: RefSeq, a predicted model, not a curated record